Molecule: long non-coding RNA, 470 nt
Filed under: Sorghum bicolor (sorghum)
Lineage: Eukaryota; Viridiplantae; Streptophyta; Magnoliopsida; Poales; Poaceae
Description: long non-coding RNA (SBIC_LNC007848)
Source: RNAcentral
UUUGCCCCUAGGCGCCGCACUUUCUUCCCCAAGCCGCAGCCCGCAACCGCAACCCCGCACGACACUCGCACUUCCUUCCCCCUAUAUCGCACGAUUGCAGGAGCCGUGGCUCUGAGGGCUCCGUCGCCACCCCCUCAUGCCCUAACCCCUCCCCCACCGCUCUGAUAGCUACGCCGCCGCCACCCUUCCGCUCCCCUGUGGCUCUGAGAGCUCCGCCGCCCCCCCUUCCCCUUGGCCUCUGUGGGCCGCGGCUCUGAGAGCUCACUGAGAGCUAUCCUAGGGAUGGCAUCUGGAAUUGGAUCCUGCAUCAUGGGCCGGUGAAGAUCUUCAUCCUUUAGUGGCACCUGGAAUUGGAUCCUAUCGUGGUCGCAAUGGUGCUACUGAAUUGAGACUUUUUAUUUGUGUUGAAUUUACAUCUUAAAAUGUGCAAUUCUUGUUAUACUUAACUUAAUUUGCUGCUGCUAGCAAUA